Felis catus (domestic cat) is the source of this 4616-nucleotide long non-coding RNA. RefSeq lists it as uncharacterized. NCBI's taxonomy places the organism in Eukaryota, Metazoa, Chordata, Mammalia, Carnivora, Felidae. The record is from RefSeq and is a predicted model, not a curated record. The transcript is spliced from 2 exons.
AGGAAGAUGGCCGAAGGGUUCCAUAGGGAAGACUUCCAAAAGGACUCGUUUCUUGAAGUGAGUCUUGAAAACUGACUGUAAGUUUUAUAAAUAAGAAAGCAAUCAGAGCAACAGUUGGAGCAAAAAGAAGUGAAAGCAUGGAACUUUCUGGCAGCUUGUGGUCUUGUGCACCCAGAACAUGGGCAAAUGAGGGGGGGUGAGAGGAUGGAGGGCAGCCAGAGCAGAAGGAAGUGACAAGAAAUAAGGUUGGGGAAGUGGUUGAGGCAAGUUUGUGAAGGCGUACAAUUCUUUGGUAAAAUUAUACAUUAAUUAAGAGAGGAUACUUCUUCAUUCUCUAAAAGAGGAUUCUGCACUCAUUACCUGAAACCCACAACGAUAUCUCUUACUUAUAAAGACAAAAAAAGCUUCUGGGUUUAUUGCAAAUUUUUUUCUCUUCUCUUUCCUUUAAAAUUAUGAGCACCAAGGUCUCCUCAGUCAGCUUCAGAAAUAAAAGCUUCUAAUGAUCUACAUCUGGGAAAAAAAUAUGCUGGUGUGGAAGAAGGGACCUAGAAGAGACAGAUGCUUAUAGAGAAGCAACAUGGAGCUGGAAAUCAUGACUGUCUAACAUCCCUCGACCCCUCCAGUAGCCCAGUGACAGUGAGCCAGUUGCUUCCACGCUCUUAGGAGGAACAUCCUCCGUGCCAGGCCCUUAGAAGACAACACCAGAAGACUUCUCUCACACGCUCAAGGAUUUCACAAUGUGGAAGGUUACUAACUAUCCCAACAAUUAUAACGCCCUUUGAUCAACACGGUGAGAGACAGAUGCCCAAGGUACCGGUGACAUGAUGGGGGUGGCGCGGCGGGCAGGAAGGCAUUUUAGAAGAUGUGGAGCUGGGCCCCCAAGAGUCUAUGGAAGCUGGCCAGGCGAAGCAGGAGAAAGAGAGUGAUGAAGGGCAUUUCAGAGGGACCGGCACAUACGUACAGUGUGGGACUGUUACGUGCCUCACCCGGCCGAAACGUCAGCUUCUGGAGUACAGGAAUUGCACCCUCACCUAGCACCUAAUCCAAUUCAUUGCUCAUAGUACAAAUGCAAUAAAUAUUGGAUGAGCUGAGAAGGCAAAUUGAUUCCAUAAACAAUGUGGGACUGAAAAGUUAAACUACAGAACAAAAGGAUAAAUUUUCCAUACAUAUCUAAAAUUUACAAAGCAUGAGAGGCCUUCCGGAGAAUUUAUAUAUAUGCAGCUGCCAUUUAAAGACUGAUUUUACAUCUGGCUAGUGCUAAUUUUACUACCCCUUUCUGAUAACAGUACAACAAAAGCUAAUUAUAGCUAUUAUUGCCAGGUAGAGUAUAAACGGAAGAGGGCUGUUCACAGCUGCGAAUUUUAUUUUCAUAAAAUGUCAAGUGCAAUAAAAUGUUAGCCCUGCAAUAUUUUUAAGUAUUAAAAAGUAAAAUCUAGCAAACGAUGCAGGCUCUGACCAUUUCCAAGGUAGAGAAUUUGUGUAACUUGAGUUUAUAACAACUCCAUAGAUACUCACUGGCAUUUUACAACCCAUUUGCACUAACAGAGUCAUUAAAACAGAUGCGGGCCGAAGUGAAUGUAGGCCACUUACCUUCGGCUUCCCAUGCUGGAAAUACAGUAUUUCCUCAACUUUUGUGAACACAUAUGCUGCUGUUGCUGAGACAGUAUUUGAUAUCCUUCCAACCACCAAGAAUACAAAUACACGGACCGAGAUUUUAAAAUAAGCACAUAGAAAACAAUACAAGAAAAAGGGUGUGUGCAUCAAGUCUUAAGAUGCAAAGUCAUGAGCCUUUUAACAAUGCAAAGCUAAAAAUAAAAAUGAAAAAGCUACUAAGAAAAAUAUUUGGGGAACAUGGUGUGCAGGAAACGCAAAAGACCUGAAAUUAGAAAUCUUAGAGAUAACUCCCGAUUCCAGCAUAUGCACCAGAUCUUGGGUAAGGAGUUUCCCCUUUACUCAGCUGAACUUAUAGGUAAAUUGGAGACACUCCCACCUAUGUCACAGGGUUACCCUGAAGAAUAAAGGAGAUUAUUCCUAGCACAGCUAACACAGUGGUCCUAGCUAGUGCCAAAUUUUAGCUGAAUCUGAGUUGGUUACUUGUGGUCUACAUAAAAUACCUAAACAUUUCAUUACGCCAAGUCCGAUUCAUUCAUUCAUUCAUUCAUUCAUUCAUUCAUUCAUUCAUUCAAUCUUUUCUUUAAAAUUCAACUGGAAUUUAUUGUGCAUUUACUAGUGCCCUGUGCUGAGGGCCUUAACACAUCACCUUUAAGACUUCCAGCAACCCCAUGAUGUAAGUGGCAUCUAUUUCCAUCCGAAGGUAAGGACACUGAGGCCCAGAUGAAAAGUUGUUGUUUUUGCUGUGUAUCUGCAGCCGCAAAAUGAAAAUAUUUCUGGUCAAGUUCUCCAUUCCUUAAAUAGGAAUAUGAAUCAGCUGCUAAUUCUUUGCAGAGUCGGCCAAAACAUAGUCAGUGCAGCUUCAGUCGGUUCAUAUGACACAGCUUCCUUAUUUCAAUCACUCCUUUAUUAAACAAGCAUUUACUUCACGGGUCUCAUGAAGAAUUUAUUGUGUAGAAGACACAAAACAAACAAAGGUACAGAGGAUCAGAGGAAACAUACGCAGUAGAGAGUAACAAACACAAUGAAAUAGAUUAGUCUGGUGGCACAGAAAUUCCACAGAAUUCCACAGAAAUGGAAGUAAGGAGAAGGGUAGGAGGCCACGGCCACUAGGUACUAGGUACCUAGGUACUAGGUACUACUUCAUACUAAGGUAUGAGGCAGGAACUGUCAGCCUGGGAUCGUGGCAGUGAGCAACAGAAGCAAGAUGCACACAGACUAUCUCUGAGACUACGUGUAGAGGAUAAAUGAGAUGAAUGAGUCAAGGAUGACUGAGGUCAAUCAGCUAAGGAACUGAGGGGAGAGUGAUAGUGUCCUGGAUAGAUAUGUGACAUUUCAGGGAGGCAAGAAGGAAAUCCAUUGGAUCACACUGACAUUAAAGCAACACUGAAAAUGCUCAGGAGAGGCCACUGGUGCAAAAUGGAAGCCACGUCACUGAGGCUGGGGGGCUAGGUCAAGGCGGAAGACACAGAUUUGCGCCUCAUCAGCAUGGAGGUCAUCAAAACCAUGCAACAAGGUGAGCUCUCUGGGAGGAAGCACGUAGGAGCAAAUCAGCAGAAGUUCAAGGACUGACAUCGAACAUCAAGAGAGGGAGAGAGAAGAAAGGCCAAAUUUUGAUCAAUUUUUGGCAUGUAAUGGAAUAUACUAAUAUUAUAUUAGAUUUCAGAUUAUUUUAGAUUGUAUUAGACAAUAAAGGACUACAUUUUAUUUUUGUUUUUCUGUCCCAAUAAAGGUUAAGUGUCAACAAAGGAAGAGGCAUGUGCACUGCACUUUAAAUUCUGUCCAUUUUGAGAAGCUUCCUAUUCAGGGAAAGGAAAUGGCUCAAAAUGAAGUCUCUUAGACCGAACAAGAAGAUUAACGAUCCAUUUCCAUUUCCAACAAUGUGUAAGAUCUGCUUCCAUCAGCGAGACCCUGGAAGUGACACGAAAAUCUCAAAACUUGUUUUUUGCCUGCAGUGACCACAAUGUCCAAGUUCAUUCACCGUUUUCCUCAGUCAGCCUACUUUUGGCGGGACAUUGAGUAUACAGCGGUGGAUUAGAUAGACACAUUCUCUGUUCCCAUAGACUGCAGAGCCGAAAUCCUGACAAUUUGCAUCCUUCCUUCUUGCUUCCAAUCCAAAGUAAACAGGAUUGGACCUCAGUGACAUUUAAUGAGUUCUACUUGCUUUUCGCAUUGUCCUUUGGCUACGAACAUCUUACAGAUGAAGGCUGAGUGUUUGCUAACCAGCCGAUGGAGGUCUUCUUUCAGAUGGACUAUUUUAGACGUGACUGUUAUGCGUGCCCGAGUGGUCACACAUUUUAACCUCAGUAGUCGAGUGGCCCUCUCCAGCGGGCUCUGUCUGCUGUCUACACAGUGAAGGUUUUGGCCUUCACAGGCCCCCUAGUCUUUUACAAACUCCAGCCAGAGGAAUGAGAACAUGGGAAGAAGGGGCCUCUGUCAUCUCAUCUCCCUCCUCACUGUCCUUUCCUCUUUAAAUCCGCAGAAAUGAAGGGUAAAUGGAAGAUGAACAAAAAAUAUGUAUUUUUUUUUUUUAAUUAAGAAUUUUAAAAAAGCCCCUGAAUGAAGGAAGCAUGAACUCUCCCAAACUGCUGGUGGGAGCAGAUUUACUGGAGCUACUGAGUUUAUAGAUUUUUCAUUUUGUUAAGUGUUCAGGACAGAAGACGAAGGUUCAGAAUAAGUGGGCCAAUUCGGCCAACCCUAGCAGGUGGCUCUGCUGGGCGCACAGGGUUGUCUUCAUCUCUAAGUCAUUUCCCUGCCUGUGGUAUGAGUCACUGUCAAACACCCACAGGGACCGUGCAGGUAGUUAAACUGGGUGACACGGGCUGAGUAUAAGUGGCAGAAACUGACACGCACUGGAAAACGUACGUCUUGCCCAAAGGUAGUAGCGCUACGAAUGCCAGUUGGAUCGCACGGGAGAAACCAGAAGUCUAGAUUUUUAUGUGAGAUCAUCUAAUUUUUAAAAUAUUGUCAAGGAGUUAAAAAAAAAUUAAAUGUCCUGUCACUAA